This is an RNA transcript of Manduca sexta (tobacco hornworm), 5565 nucleotides long. It is a transcript of the gene named PHD finger protein 20, with no coding region annotated. The transcript is spliced from 18 exons. NCBI's taxonomy places the organism in Eukaryota, Metazoa, Arthropoda, Insecta, Lepidoptera, Sphingidae. The record is from RefSeq and is a predicted model, not a curated record.
UGUUUCUGUUUCUACUCUUUAACGUUGUUAUAUUUUUAGCAUAGUUAUUUUACUAUUUUUUUUGUACAUGUAUGAUUUUGUAUAACGGGGUUUCUUAAUCAAUAUCAAUGUUGAUGAUAUUUGUUUAUUAUCUUCUCAAAAUGUCUGCUCCUAGAGCAGAAUUCUACUGAUGUUUGCAUGAAGUAUCAAAUGCAAUAAAUUUGCCUGGUCGAUAGUAUUUAUUUCAUAUUAUAAAGGUUACUACUUACAAAUUUAUGUAAACUAAGGAACAAUAUACAUGCACUCGCAGGAUGGGUGUAAAGAACUGUUGCGUAGAAACAUGUAAAUCCUGCUCUACAAGAAAGGAGGACAAUGGUGUCACAUACCACAGAUUUCCAAAAAAUCUGGCUUUACGUAACACUUGGAUGUCAAUAACUUGUUGCAAAGAUUCAGACUUGCCGAAGUAUGUGUGUUCAAGGCAUUUCUGUAAGAAUGAUUUUCAAACAUAUAAGGACUCUAAGUACAUACUGAAGUCAGAUGCCGUGCCCUCAAUUUUUCCUUGGACUAUAUGUGAGAUAUCUAAUACAAUGGAAACUACAGAUGGCUUAUUAAAACAUAAUGACUCUGCACCACCAGAGGUAGAAGCUACGUUGAAAGCCUCAGAACUAUCUGAAGAGUCUGAAGAAAAUUUAGAAGCAAUAAGAAAAUUCAUUGAAGAUCAAGACAAAGAAUUGCAAGAGGAAAAUAAUAAAGUAAAUGUUGCCAAGAUAGAUGAACUUGAAAUUGAGAGUAACAAUAUUACAAAUAAAGACAAAAGCACUAGUUAUGAUGUUGCAAAUAAAGACAGUAACAGCUGCACCAGUAAUGAAACAUCAGCCAACGAGAAUGAAGGAACCAUGGCAGUUGCUUCUAGUGUUAUGGAUAUGAUACUAAGUGAAUCAGAAGUAAAAAUACAGGAUAAAAAGGAUUUUGCACCAUUGCCCAAGUAUAACAGCAUAAGCUCAGCUGAUAAAGUUGCUAGUGGCAGUAUUUCUCUAUCAGUUGGUUCAAGAAUAGAAGCGAAAGAUUUUGGUGAUGAAUGGCAUCCAGCAGAGAUUGUGGAGGUUGAUUAUGACGAGAUGGAAGUUUUGGUUCGUUAUGAGCCAUACAACAAGAGUAUUUCGCGGCACGACGAAUGGAUUAGCGUGAGCAGCCCUCGUUUGAGACCAACAACUUCUAGCGCUACUGCUAAGCGUGACACAGUUGAAGAUAAGAUGCCCGAACCGGUCGCACAAGUGAAGGAAGAAAUUAAAGAAGUGAAGGUGGAAGAGAAAGCGAAGUUAACGUUCACGGUGGGAGAGAGAUGUCUGGCGCGGUGGAGGGAUAACAGGAGAUUCAUGGCCACCAUACAAAAUGAUUUAGGCAAUGGUACCUAUGAAAUUAUAUUCGACGACGGUUUCUACUGGAAAUGCAACGUGUCAAGACUGUAUAAAUGGAAACAAACUGGAAAGAAUGAUCUUUUGACUGUUGAUACAUCACUACAUUCCCCAAUAGGGGUCCCAUCGCCUAUACAAGUUGGAGGUCCAAGCACGGCAGCUGCACCUCCCAUCCCUACAAGUUUCCACACACAUCUUUUUGACCCAACUCGUGACUACCUCAGUUCCAAAAGUGAACGACGCGAAAUGAAGAGAAAAUUAAAUAUAAAGGAGAUAUUUAAUAUUGGUCAAAAGAAACAAAAAACCAAAUCCGAUAAAGUAAAAAAGCCAAGAAUAAUCAGAAGGACUCCUAAAGUUAAAAGUGAACCUGUUAAAAAAGAACUGAAGGUUGAACUUAAAAGGGAUAUACCAGAUGCUGUUGCUUCUAUCAUUGGCACAGUGAAAAAAGACGAAAUAGGGAUAGAAGAAAUAAAAACUGAAGACGUUAUUGAAGUAAAACUUGAAGAAAUAGACAAGGAUGAUUUAGAAGUUACAGAUGUUACAGAAUCCAAAGAUGAUGUACAGGUAGCGGAUGAUUUUACAAUGGAUCCAUUUAAAGCAGAAUUAGACCCUGUACAUGAAGAAGACGUGAAACUUGAAAAAUUUGAUGAACAAGACAGUAAGCACGAAGAAGUAAUCGAUAGGAUGAAAGAAGUUAUCAACAAAUUGGAAGGUGGUCUGAAAGAGGACACGUUGAAUGCUCUCAAAGUAGAUAAUAAGGAAGAAACUCCAAUACCUACGAAACUUGAAGCAAUUCAGGCUAAAACUGAAGAACCAAUAGAAAACGUAGUCGUAGAUGUCGUCGCAGAGGCCAACACUCCAGUAAAAGUGAAAUCUAAAAAGCUAUCGAAGAUUAAGAAAAGUAAGAAACUGAGAAUGUUGCAGGAGAAGAAGGUAAAGAAACAAGUGCAAAAAGUAAAAAGCGAACUGGAAGAGAUGAAAAAACAGGUGGAAGAGAUGAGGAAGCAGAUGUUGUUGAAGACGCAGGAGUUUGCGAAGGGACAAUCGGAGAUGCCGGAGAGCUUCCUGUUGCCUGGAGAGUGGUGUUGUCGGUGGCUGAACGGGCAACCGGUGGGGACGGUUAGUGAGAUCGAGUGCGAGACUAAAGUUAAUGGUGAUGGGAAACCUGGAUUGCCGCGACGAAGUGUUCAGGUUGAAGAUAAGCGGUUACCAGUCGGUUGGACAAAACAUAUGGUACGCAGAAGCUUGGGACAUUCAGCUGGCAAGUGGGACGUCGUACUUGUUAGCCCCGAAAAUCGCCGUUUCCACACAAAGACGGAUAUGCGUAAUUACCUCGAAAAUUAUCCCGAUGAGUCCCUGAAGCCGUACGAAGCUGCACUCAUGGACUUUGGGGUACAUUUGAAGUUGGCUCGACGCAUGGGAUGGAUCACCACCACUCCGGGAGGCGUUGCCGAUGGACCCACACUACCUCGUGGGACCUUGCAUAGCACUUCACCCUUGGUUAAAAGGAAAAAGCUGAAGAAGUCGGACAGGAAAAACCGUCGGCAGAAGAAAAACAAAUUGACGUUCAGGAUGAAGUUGGCUUUGGCUUCUCAGAAUAUUGUUGACGAGAUUGGUAUGGAAACCACUUCUGAUUCCGUGGCAACGCCGGAACCCGUGCUUGACACUAUUACCUUAGAAGACGGAUAUGUGUACGUCGGCUCCCUUAAAGUUCAAAUAAUAGACAAUCUCCUCCGAUGUCCUGCUGAAGGAUGCUUCAAGAAUUUCAGAAACAACACAUUGUUGCAAAUGCACAUCAAACAUUAUCAUAGAGAAUUAAGGGAGAAGCUAGGUGACACACCGAAAGUUCUCGAUUUGGCAUAUGCCAGAACUAUGCCACUAGAUCCAGAGCCAGUAAGGCAAGUGGAGAGUAAGGUUAUAAAGGUGAAGAUCGCCAAGCCGAAGCGUGAGGAACCCAAAGUUGAAGUAACUGAAACUAAACCCGAUUUGCUCAUUGAUAUAGCACCCAAAACUCCAGUUAGUCAAGAUAGUGAGAGUAUACCUAAAGUCCAAGACUCGCCUAAGUUGCGUGAUGCGUUAGUCAACAAGCCAGUGAAGAGACCAAAAGUAUUGCUUCCAGUUAGAAGGCCGGAGUUCGACCCGGAGCCAAUGAAUGUAGAUGAUUAUGAAGAGCUGCCAGAAACUGCGCUCGAUAAAUAUUGUGUGACGGAACCAUUAGAUUUUGAGACAGCGAUCUCUACGCAUACUGUGACUAAACCUGCGGGUGAAAAACGGAAGAAAGAUAAGAAUCUCAAAUCCUUAACGUUGAUGUCGCAAAAGGCGAGCGAAGAUGAGGAAUGGUUUGCGAACUCUGAUUUCGAGACGCAGUCCAGUUUCCCGCGGUCUGGAACGCCUGACUCUAAAUCGAUGGAGAUGCAAACAGUUAAGACGCGGGCUUUGACGCCGGAAUCUACCGAAGAGCUCAAGGACUCACAGAAGUACACGUACACAGAAAACGGCGAGCGCGUGAAGAUAGUGCACAUGAAGCGGGAGGAGAUUAUCAACUGCCACUGCGGGUACCGCGAGGAGGACGGGCUCAUGGUGCAAUGCGAGCUGUGUCUGUGCUGGCAGCACGCGCUCUGCCACAAUAUACAGAGCGAGGCGCAGGUGCCGGAGAAGUACACGUGCAGCAUUUGCCUGAACCCCCGGCGUGGACGCUGGUCGCAGCGGUUCCUGCACGACCAGGACCGGCUGUACGAGGGGUUGCUGCCGGGCGCGCGGCCGUGCGACCUGCUGCGUCGCUCGCACGAGCUGUCGGGCAACCUGCUGCGGAUACAGGACGCGCUGCACGCGCUCAGGGUCAAGUGCUUUGUCGCCUCAAAAAAAGACCAUCCGAAACUGUACUUAUGGGCUAAAGACUGGGAGCAUGCAGAGAUAUCGUACACUCAAGAGAAGCUCAACUCUGAUUACUCCGACUUGAACAUAAUGAUCAACACAGUUGGUAAGGAGAACAUGCCAAUCAAACCCGAGGAAAUGAAGGACAUGCAGCUCGGACUACCUUCGGAUGAUGCGGACCUUGAGAGGUUUUCGCAGCGUGACAAUCAACUAAGCUCGCACGUAUUGCUGACUAGUUUGCUGUCAAGUCCUGGCGGCGCGUCACUUGAGCUGCCUAUAAGUACUUCCGAGCUGGAGACGCUUGCAAAAACUGUACAAGACAUAUAUCUGUAUCAGAACAAGAGUGUGCAGUAGCGGCGGCGGCGGUGGGCGUGUCGGGUCCACAGCCCGAGGCGGCCAUCGAGAACGGCGCGUGUCGCGUGCGGCUGCUGCGUCACCUGCAGCGCUGCCACGCGCUCGUCGACGCACGUCUCGACUCAAUCGAGGCGCAGGUGGCAGAGCUGGAAUCUCAAGACCCGUCGUUCGAGGACGAUGAGACGCCUGACUUCUUCCCGCGUACUAAGCAGACUGUUCAGAUGCUGCUGCGGGAUCUGGACACUAUGGAAGAGUUAGGAAUCAUUACUUAAACACAAAUAUUUAUGCUUUAGCCAUUUCCCAGUGUCUCUACUCUCUAGAAAACGAUAGACGCCCCAACAAGUAUCUCCGGAAGCGGGUAAAUUAUAUAAAGGAAUUAUUUGAGCCAUCAUAUGAAUUGAGCGUGUAAUAUUUGUGCAACGUGAUAUUAUUUUAUAGGUCUAUCACAGAAUAAAUAUAAUUCAUACCAUGUGUCGCCUUAGCGUUUUUAAAACAAGUUGUUUCGCACCUCAGUACCAUUUCCAUCUAAAAUUCUUCAAAUAGCAUGGGGGCAGCCAAAACAACUGCAUGACAUGCGCGAUUUAACUAAACAUAAUAUUGUGUGUCUUUCGACUAUGUGUUUAGUAUAAUCAGCCAAAAUGGAUUAUUGAAAUAUCCUAUUAAAUUAUAUACCUUUAGUGAUUCCUGAAUGAGCUUUAUAUGGUAUUCAAUAAGUGUACUUGACUCUGCGCAACUGCUAGUCGUUUCUUGCGGCACAUGAGGGGAGAGAAAGAUAAGUCAAUGAAUACCAAUACCAACUGUGCAUUUGUCUUUUACUUGCCACUCUCUCAUUCAGCAAGAAGUGACUAGCACUUGAUUGCUGGCUAUAAGAUAUUGGCUGUAUGUAAUAGUUAACACUAGCGAGUUUAUUUGUAAAUAUAUUUCAAUAAAGAUUUUUCUUUGA